This 87-nucleotide transfer RNA is filed under the name Blumeria hordei DH14. RNAcentral describes it as "tRNA-Lys for anticodon CUU". It matches the Rfam family "tRNA". From Rfam's summary of the family: Transfer RNA (tRNA) molecules are approximately 80 nucleotides in length. Their secondary structure includes four short double-helical elements and three loops (D, anti-codon, and T loops). Further hydrogen bonds mediate the characteristic L-shaped molecular structure. tRNAs have two regions of fundamental functional importance: the anti-codon, which is responsible for specific mRNA codon recognition, and the 3' end, to which the tRNAs corresponding amino acid is attached (by aminoacyl-tRNA synthetases). tRNAs cope with the degeneracy of the genetic code in two manners: having more than one tRNA (with a specific anti-codon) for a particular amino acid; and 'wobble' base-pairing, i.e. permitting non-standard base-pairing at the 3rd anti-codon position. The record is from Rfam by way of RNAcentral. Lineage: Eukaryota; Fungi; Ascomycota; Leotiomycetes; Helotiales; Erysiphaceae. RNAcentral also lists the same sequence under 1 other name.
GCCCGGGUAGCUCAAUCGGUAGAGCGUGUGGCUCUUACCAUUGGUAAACAAACCUCAAGGUCGCGGGUUCGAGCCCCGCCUCGGGCU